CUCAUGAUUUCCUGGAAGCUGGCUGUCCAUCAAUGGUGUAUAUAAGAUGUGUUAUAAGUAUGAUGCUUCCAUAAUACAUUUGGAUGUUUUCAGCUAAGUUCACUUCUGAACGAUGGGGUUCCUCCAAAUGUUGGCUGAAAUUUGUCCUUGCAUAUCUCCAAGCUCAUCUGCAAAGUCUACAGUUCAUAAUGGAGCUACUAUACUGCCUAUCGGAAGGAGGAGAUUCGGAAGAUAGGGAGAUUAAGAUCCCAAUACAUGAGGUCCUUCAAACAAGAAUAAUAGUGGAGAAGUAUAUAGCUGUAUUUUAUAAUCCAUCAAGGAGCCUGAAGACUUUGUGCCUGAAGAAGUAUCUUCAUAUCUAACUUGGUUAGGAGAAAAUAGGAUUCAGCUAUCGGGCUUUGAAACUUCCUGUGGUCUGUUCAAUCUAGAUGCAAAGGACCUGGAACAGUCAAGUGCGCAAGAGGUUUAAAUUGUUUUGGAUAUUCCUAUUUAUAGACAAAAAUAUUUUUCCAAUUCAGAUCCUCAGUUGUUAUGCAAAAGAAGGUCAUGUCUUCUUCAUCAUCCAUUUUAUUUGAAAUGAUUAGUAUUGUAGAGUAUCACCAAACAUUUUCUCUUUGAAUCAAAGUAUAGAAAAAAUAAAAUCAAUUCUAUAUGUUGA
Leptonychotes weddellii (Weddell seal) is the source of this 658-nucleotide non-coding RNA. Lineage: Eukaryota; Metazoa; Chordata; Mammalia; Carnivora; Phocidae. The record is from RefSeq and is a predicted model, not a curated record.